AGACUUCUUCAACCACGUAUCAGUUUAUCAGGCCCACACCACGUGGCCUUAUUCUGACUACUCAUGGCUUACUUUAGGUGAUUGUUAUGCCAUAUCAGACGUCCUUCCACUAUCGUUGACUCUUCAGAUUCGAAGAUGACAGUUAUCUUUAUGAUCUUGGACACGCAACAUGACUGGAUUGGUUUCAUACCCACAUCUCUUCGCCUGUUUCUAAAUAUAAAUGAUGAUUGCCUUACUUCUCGAGCUGCAUUUAAACCCGUCGUC
This 264-nucleotide long non-coding RNA is filed under the name Manihot esculenta (cassava). Its description in RNAcentral is "long non-coding RNA (MESC_LNC002122)". The record is from RNAcentral. Lineage: Eukaryota; Viridiplantae; Streptophyta; Magnoliopsida; Malpighiales; Euphorbiaceae.